RNAcentral lists this long non-coding RNA (566 nucleotides) under Homo sapiens (human). Its description in RNAcentral is "non-protein coding lnc-CDC27-2:18". The record is from RNAcentral. Lineage: Eukaryota; Metazoa; Chordata; Mammalia; Primates; Hominidae.
CCACUCUUCCCUAAUCGCUGUUCAUUCUCCGGUGCGCUGUCCCGCCAUGGUCUGACCCCACUUCAAUCUUACCUUCGAACUUCAGAUUGAAAAGCAUGUACUUGAGUAGCUGUAUUUAAGGAAUUACACCCAAGAAGUCUCAUCUUCCCUGGACUUACGUAGAGGAUAAGAUUCUGAACUUUGAAUUGAUGCUAUAAUGGGAUAAGACUUUGGGGCCUUAGAAGGGGAGAACAAAGGCCAUGAAGGUGUUAAAGGGAAGCAAGCGAUCGACAGCAUUGGUUGGUGACAAACCUGUGGCUGGUCUGUGUAUGAUGGGAUGGAUUCCUCCUGCUCCCAGAAGGCACUGUACUUUCAGUGUUCAGGGCAGCCUUGCCUUAGUGCCUCAAACCUAUCCCUACAUCCUGCAGUAAACUUGGAAAGGUAACACCUCUAACCAUCAGGCCUUCCUCUGAAGCACAGUCAAGUUGCUCUUGGCAACCAUCUCAAUUUUAAUAGUGCAGAUGCCAUGUGCUGUAAAGUCCUAAAAUUUAAAUUCUUUAUUUCUUGACAUCAUUGCCUCAAAAAAA